Molecule: unclassified non-coding RNA, 349 nt
Filed under: Chalara sp.
Lineage: Eukaryota; Fungi; Ascomycota; Leotiomycetes; Helotiales
Description: partial contains 5.8S ribosomal RNA, internal transcribed spacer 2, and large subunit ribosomal RNA
Source: RNAcentral
AACGCAUAUUGCGCUCGAGACUUCGGUCGAGAGCAUGUCUGUCUCAGCGUCGGCUCACCCCCUCGCCCCCUUCUCCUUUUCUACGAAAUCGAAGAAGGUUUAAAAGGCGGAUGUGGCCGUCUCAGUUUCUUCUUACGAAGAUAAUUGGGUCGGCUGAAGCACAGGGCCUGCGGCCGGACCCUCAAUCAAUUGGGGCGCCAGCAUGGUAGGUGGCUCUUCGCAGCUGCAUGCCGCUGUCGCUUUCCAGACCGAGACCAGUCGCGCGGCCAAGCAGGAAACGCUCUUUCUAAUCACAGAAAGAACACAUUUCUUCGACCUGAGAUCAGACAAGACUACCCGCUGAACUUAA